UGAAUACGAGAUGCUACGGCGUGAAGCAGUCUAUGUCAUACUUCCAAGAAAAGCUUGCACUGUCAUAAACAAAUAAUGCCUGUACCAUAACCGACACAGGUGGGUAGGUAGAGUAUACUAAGGGGCGCGAGAUAACUCUCUCUAAGGAACUCGGCAAAAUGACUCCGUAACUUCGGGAGAAGGAGUGCCUUAUUUAUAAGGUUGCAAUAACAAGAUCCAAGCAACUGUUUACCAAAAACACAGGUCUCCGCUAAGUCGUAAGACGAUGUAUGGGGGCUGACGCCUGCCCAGUGCCAGAAGGUUAAAGAAGUUGGUUAGCAUCCGCGAAGCUGAUAACUGAAGCCCUGGUGAACGGCGGCCGUAACAAUAACGGUCCUAAGGUAGCGAAAUUCCUUGUCGGGUAAGUUCCGACCCGCACGAAAGGCGUAAUGAUUUGGAUACUGUCUCGGAGAGGGGCUCGGUGAAAUAGACUUGUCUGUGGAGAUGCGGACUACCUGCACCAGGACAGAAAGACCCUAUGAAGCUUUACUGUAACCUGAAAUUGAAAUUGGACUUUACUUGCGCAGUAUAGGUGGGAGGCGUUGAGAAUAUUCUUGCGGGAUUAUUGGAGCCAUCAGUGAGAUACCACUCUUGUAAUGUUAGAUUUCUAACUUUGUAUCAUUAUCUGGUCAAAGAACAGUUUCAGGCGGGCAGUUUGACUGGGGCGGUCGCCUCCUAAACGGUAACGGAGGCGCACAAAGGUUUCCUCUGAACGGGUAGAAAUCGUAUCUAGAGUGUAAAGGCAUAAGGAAGCUUGACUGUGAGACCUACAAGUCGAGCAGGGACGAAAGUCGGUCUUAGUGAUCUGACGGUGCUGAGUGGAAAGGCCGUCACUCAACGGAUAAAAGUUACUCUAAGGAUAACAGGCUGAUCUCCCCCAAGAGUUCACAUCGACGGGGAGGUUUGGCACCUCGAUGUCGGCUCAUCGCAUCCUGGGGCGGUAGUACGUCCCAAGGGUUGGGCUGUUCGCCCAUGAAAGCGGUACGCGAGCUGGGUUCAGAACGUCGUGAGACAGUUCGGUCCAUAUCCGGUGUAGGCGUUAGAAUAUUGAGAGGAGCCUUCUUUAGUACGAGAGGACCGAGAAGGACAUACCUCUGGUGUACCAGUUAUCGUGCCAACGGUAAACGCUGGGUAGCUAUGUGUGGAGUGGAUAACCGCUGAAAGCAUCUAAGUGGGAAGCCCACCUCAAGAUAAG
Molecule: ribosomal RNA, 1234 nt
Filed under: metagenome
Description: bacterial LSU rRNA
Rfam family: Bacterial large subunit ribosomal RNA
Source: RNAcentral